RNAcentral lists this non-coding RNA (81 nucleotides) under unclassified sequences. Its description in RNAcentral is "DUF1874 RNA". It matches the Rfam family "DUF1874 RNA", at positions 11 to 93 of the family's 93-position model. From Rfam's summary of the family: Hot springs metagenome only. Environment (Bison Hot Springs, Yellowstone) The record is from RNAcentral.
UCCGAUAGGUGAGGUCAUCCAAGGUAAGUGGUGCCAAAGGCACCCGCCUCACCGCCCGCAAGGGUAGAACAGGGAGGAGGU